Molecule: ribosomal RNA, 460 nt
Filed under: uncultured bacterium
Lineage: Bacteria
Description: partial 16S ribosomal RNA
Rfam family: Bacterial small subunit ribosomal RNA
Source: RNAcentral
CCUACGGGAGGCAGCAGUGAGGAAUAUUGGUCAAUGGACGCAAGUCUGAACCAGCCAUGCCGCGUGCAGGAAGACGGCUCUAUGAGUUGUAAACUGCUUUUGUACGAGGGUAAACUCAGAUACGUGUAUCUGUCUGAAAGUACCGUACGAAUAAGGAUCGGCUAACUCCGUGCCAGCAGCCGCGGUAAUACGGAGGAUUCAAGCGUUAUCCGGAUUUAUUGGGUUUAAAGGGUGCGUAGGCGGUCGGAUAAGUUAGAGGUGAAAUCCCGAGGCUCAACUUCGGAAUUGCCUCUGAUACUGUUAGGCUAGAGAGUAGUUGCGGUAGGCGGAAUGUAUGGUGUAGCGGUGAAAUGCUUAGAGAUCAUACAGAACACCGAUUGCGAAGGCAGCUUACCAAGCUACAUCUGACGUUGAGGCACGAAAGCGUGGGGAGCAAACAGGAUUAGAUACCCCGGUAGUC